GAUACCAGCACAAAAGUUCUUCCUUCUUGAUUCUCUUGUUUACCGAGUGGGUUAUGCCCUUGUAACAGGAUGAAUCUGCAUAAGCAGUACAAUUCGUCAGAUUAAAGAUUACGAUAAAUGUUUUUUUCUCUUUAAUAGUGGCAAUAACAGAUAAAUGCUUUUAAGGAUUACAAUUCGUCGGAACGGGAGGAGGUCGACCCAUCACGAUGUUCGGUACCCCUUUAAUAGUACAGAUAAAGCAAGUGGUACAUGGAUUAGCCGGGGAAGUGCAUGAUGGUCAUCAAACUGCGGCUAAGACCUGCAUGACCCAAAGCUUAAAAAUGAU
Molecule: long non-coding RNA, 325 nt
Filed under: Hordeum vulgare
Lineage: Eukaryota; Viridiplantae; Streptophyta; Magnoliopsida; Poales; Poaceae
Description: long non-coding RNA (HVUL_LNC007213)
Source: RNAcentral